UACACAUGCAAGUCGAGCGGAUGAGUGGAGCUUGCUCCAUGAUUCAGCGGCGGACGGGUGAGUAAUGCCUAGGAAUCUGCCUGGUAGUGGGGGACAACGUUUCGAAAGGAACGCUAAUACCGCAUACGUCCUACGGGAGAAAGUGGGGGAUCUUCGGACCUCACGCUAUCAGAUGAGCCUAGGUCGGAUUAGCUAGUUGGUGAGGUAAAGGCUCACCAAGGCGACGAUCCGUAACUGGUCUGAGAGGAUGAUCAGUCACACUGGAACUGAGACACGGUCCAGACUCCUACGGGAGGCAGCAGUGGGGAAUAUUGGACAAUGGGCGAAAGCCUGAUCCAGCCAUGCCGCGUGUGUGAAGAAGGUCUUCGGAUUGUAAAGCUCUUUCGGCCGGGAAGAAAUCGUGGUGGCUAAUACCUGCCAUGGGUGACGGUACCGGACUAAGAAGCACCGGCUAACUACGUGCCAGCAGCCGCGGUAAUACGUAGGGUGCGAGCGUUAAUCGGAAUUACUGGGCGUAAAGCGUGCGCAGGCGGUUGUGUAAGACAGGCGUGAAAUCCCCGGGCUCAACCUGGGAACUGCGCUUGUGACUGCACGGCUAGAGUACGGCAGAGGGGGGUGGAAUUCCACGUGUAGCAGUGAAAUGCGUAGAGAUGUGGAGGAACACCGAUGGCGAAGGCAGCCCCCUGGGUCGAUACUGACGCUCAUGCACGAAAGCGUGGGGAGCAAACAGGAUUAGAUACCCUGGUAGUCCACGCCCUAAACGAUGUCGACUAGUUGUUGGAGGGGUAAAACCCUUUAGUAACGUAGCUAACGCGUGAAGUCGACCGCCUGGGGAGUACGGCCGCAAGGUUAAAACUCAAAGGAAUUGACGGGGACCCGCACAGCGGUGGAUGAUGUGGAUUAAUUCGAUGCACGCGAAAACCUUACCUACCCUUGACAUGCAGGAACUUGCCAGAGAUGGCUUGGUGCCCGCAAGGGAACCUGGACACAGGUGCUGCAUGGCUGUCGUCAGCUCGUGUCGUGAGAUGUUGGGUUAAGUCCCGCAACGAGCGCAACCCUUGUCAUUAGUUGCCAUCAUUUGGUUGGGCACUUUAAUGAGACUGCCGGUGACAAACCGGAGGAAGGUGGGGAUGACGUCAAGUCCUCAUGGCCCUUAUGGGUAGGGCUUCACACGUCAUACAAUGGUCGGUACAGAGGGUUGCCAAGCCGCGAGGCGGAGCCAAUCUCAGAAAGCCGAUCGCAGUCCGGAUUGCGGUUUGCAACUUGACUGCAGAAGUCGGAAUCGCUAGUAAUCGCAGAUCAGCAUGC
RNAcentral lists this ribosomal RNA (1308 nucleotides) under uncultured bacterium. Its description in RNAcentral is "bacterial SSU rRNA". It matches the Rfam family "Bacterial small subunit ribosomal RNA", at positions 50 to 1357 of the family's 1533-position model. The record is from RNAcentral.